UUCCUCUAUCUCCACGCUGCAGGUCAGACACUUUCCUCUAUCACCACGCUGCAGGUCAGACACUUUCCUCUAUCUCC
Molecule: long non-coding RNA, 77 nt
Organism: Perca fluviatilis (European perch)
Lineage: Eukaryota; Metazoa; Chordata; Actinopteri; Perciformes; Percidae
Exons: 3
Source: RefSeq, a predicted model, not a curated record